AUUGAACGCUGGCGGCAGGCCUAACACAUGCAAGUCGAACGAGUGGCGGACGGGUGAGUAAUGUCUGGGAAACUGCCUGAUGGAGGGGGAUAACUACUGGAAACGGUAGCUAAUACCGCAUACCAUCGGAUGUACCCAGAUGGGAUUAGCUAGUAGGUGGGGUAACGGCUCACCUAGGCGACGAUCCCUAGCUGGUCUGAGAGGAUGACCAGCCACACUGGAACUGAGACACGUUCCAGACUCCUACGGGAGGCAGCAGUGGGGAAUAUUGCACAAUGGGGGCAAGGCUGAUGAUGCCAGGCCGCGUGUAUGAAGAAGGCUUUCGGGUUGGAAAGGACUUUCAGCGGGGAGGCGUUACCCACAGAAGAAGCACCGGCUAACUCCGGGCCAGCCGCCGCGGUAAUAC
This 406-nucleotide ribosomal RNA is filed under the name uncultured bacterium. RNAcentral's name for it is "partial 16S ribosomal RNA". It matches the Rfam family "Bacterial small subunit ribosomal RNA", at positions 30 to 526 of the family's 1533-position model. The record is from RNAcentral.